Plutella xylostella (diamondback moth) is the source of this 681-nucleotide non-coding RNA. Lineage: Eukaryota; Metazoa; Arthropoda; Insecta; Lepidoptera; Plutellidae. The record is from RefSeq and is a predicted model, not a curated record.
ACUAUCGUUUGACAAAAUACAAAAACUACAGAGGCGUGCUUCAAUACCUAAGACGACAGAUAAUACCAAUCUUUCUACAUCUCAUUCACCGCCGGCUGAAUCGUUGAAUGAAAAACAAAAUAUUCAGAGGCUUGCUGCUAUAACUAAGACGCAAAGUAAUUCAAAUCUUCCCAUACCUCAUUCGCCAGCUGAAUCAAAUGAAGAAGUUUCUACAGUACAACCAGAAGAAAACAAAUAAUGAAAUCAGAAUCGGUGGAAGUAGAAUUGUAGAUUUUAUGUAUUUAUAUGAACAGUAACUAGAAAUAUCACAUCAUAACUCUCCAUUAGGUUGUAACUUUAAUCAUUUGAAACUAUUAGGAGAAAAAAGGAAGGGAUUUGUGUCUAAAUUUGAGUUUGUUUUCCAAAUGUGCAACCUUAAAUUGAGUUUAAAGAACUGUAAAAAAUCUGAAGAUAAAAAUGAAUUCGACCUAAACGAAAAUGUUGUAAGUGCUUUCAUGUCUAUUGGUGUUGGACACGCGGGCUUAGAACAGGUAUCUGCUUCACGUGAGAUACCUUCUAUGUCAGACCAUUUGUAUGCCAAAUGUCACGCAAGAGUCUGUGAACUAUGGGAAACGGCAAAAGAAAAAUGCAUGGAGGAAGCAGCAAAAGAAGAAUUUGAUUUAGCUGUGCCAGAUGGUAAUG